Molecule: long non-coding RNA, 219 nt
Filed under: Volvox carteri
Lineage: Eukaryota; Viridiplantae; Chlorophyta; Chlorophyceae; Chlamydomonadales; Volvocaceae
Description: long non-coding RNA (VCAR_LNC003552)
Source: RNAcentral
GCUUUGCAGUCUGGUGCCGCAGCCAUAACACACACGGAAAACAGCGCCGUACAGCACCGUACGCACUGCCUACGGCGCCCCUUCAGGCAUUGACCCGCCAGCUCACGCGCCCUUGGCGGCCCCCUCAAAGCCUAGCUCAACAUACUUCCCCAAAGCCCGCAGCACUUUCAUGUGCUGUCCUAUGUUCAUUUCCGAAGCGCCAGGCUUCAGCAAUCCGCC